GGUGAACCUGCGGAAGGAUCAUUACCGAGUUGAUUCGAGCUCCGGGCUCGACUCUCCCACCCCAUGUGUUACCUACCUCUGUUGCUUUGGCGGGCCGCGGUCCUCCGCACCGACCCCCGUUCGGGGGCCGGCCAGCGCCCGCCAGAGGACCACAAAACUCCAGUCAGUAAACGUCGCAGUCUGAGAAACAAGUCAAUAAACUAAAACUUUCAACAACGGAUCUCUUGGUUCUGGCAUCGAUGAAGAACGCAGCGAAAUGCGAUAAGUAAUGUGAAUUGCAGAAUUCAGUGAAUCAUCGAAUCUUUGAACGCACAUUGCGCCCCUUGGUAUUCCGAGGGGCAUGCCUGUUCGAGCGUCAUUUCAACCCUCAAGCUCUGCUUGGUAUUGGGCUCCGUCCUCCGCGGACGCGCCUCGAAGACCUCGGCGGUGGCGUCUUGCCUCAAGCGUAGUAGAAAACACCUCGCUUUGGAGCGCACGGCGUCGCCCGCCGGACGAACCUUUGAAUUUUUCUACAAGGUUGACCCUCGGAUCAGGUAGGGAU
RNAcentral lists this ribosomal RNA (541 nucleotides) under Neofusicoccum australe. RNAcentral describes it as "eukaryotic LSU rRNA". The stretch from base 205 to 358 matches the Rfam family "5.8S ribosomal RNA". The record is from RNAcentral. Lineage: Eukaryota; Fungi; Ascomycota; Dothideomycetes; Botryosphaeriales; Botryosphaeriaceae.